UNGCCAAUGAGGGCAUUCAUUCAGGCAGU
RNAcentral lists this non-coding RNA (29 nucleotides) under Mus musculus (house mouse). The record is from RNAcentral. Lineage: Eukaryota; Metazoa; Chordata; Mammalia; Rodentia; Muridae.